GGAAGCCCUGUGAUUGGAGGGGCCGCGGUGGUUCUCUGCCUCCCACAGGCUCUGUCACCUGCCGGGGGCCUGGAGCUUGUCCAGUGUUUCAGAGCUAAACCAGCACCAAUGAACUCAUGUUGGCCCUCCUAAAAUAACCCCUAGGCCUUUUGUACAGAAGGGGAAAACUGAGGCAUCAGAAGGGUUGGGUGAGUGCCUGCUCACAGAUUGGUAGCUAGGAAGAGAGUCAGUACAGUAAGAUGCCUGUUAGACCAUUGUUCUUCAAACCGUGAAAUGCAACACACUCGUGAAUCUCAAAAUCAAUGUAGUGGGUCUCAACCAUCAAUUUAUUAAAUGAAAUGCAAUAGAAUAGAAUAGAAAAUAUCAAUGUGUAUAAAUAGUAGAAGUAAAUGUUUUGUGAAACUGUUUACAGAUUGCAGAUAAUAUGUACAACAAAUAACGAUAUACAAUGUAUUUCUUUCUGCAGGUCAGGAUCAAAACAGUUUGGAAGCCACUGUGUUAAGACCCUGGUUAGUGUGUGAGAUCCAUGAUGGCAGGGACUGUUCCCUCCCUACCUGCAGCACCCACCAGGACUUCCCACACAGGUGAUGGGGGAAGGAGGCUGGAGAGGCAGCCGAGAGAAGGGGCUGAGUGUACAGGAGCACAUUGGCCGAGAUGACUCAGCAUCAUCUCUGACUAGCUCGUUACUGUGGUGAGUCAUCCAAACGCUCCACACCUGUUUCCUCACCUGUAACGUGAAGAUAAUAACAGCCCCACCCUCAGGGAUGUUAUGCAGGACUAAAUAAGAGAAUACAUGUCAAAUACAUAGCAUGGUGCCUGCCACAGGGUAAGUGCUCAGUAAAUGUUAGCAAUUAUUAUGGGAUGCUCUAUAAAUCAUUCCUAGAUAAAUAAAUUAUGAAAAACAAGCUUGGGCUAAUCCCAUGAUGCCAGGCCACUGACCAGAGCCUGUCCUGUCACUUUAAGUUUCCUCCUCACCCUGUACAAAGGGCAAAUUUAGUACUCUUCCCAAAACCCUGGUGUGUAUCCCACUGUCCUCUGGUGCUCUGUAUGUGUUCAUACCUAGGUACUCAGUGGGGGACACAAUGUACUGGAAAGAACACUGGAAAUCAGGAAACAGGUUCAAUUCUAGGUCAGCCACCAACUAGCCAUGUGACCUCUGAGAGUCAUUUCACUCAUUUGAGCCUCAGUUUCCUCACCUGUCCAAUUAGGGGGUUAGAUGACAAGGGUGCUUUCAGUCCCUUCCUGCUCUGACGUUUGGCAAAUUUAUCCAGUGUUGUGUGGGCAUAGCCCAUGAGGCUUCGUGCCAGGCUGCAGGGACUGGCUGGAAAGCUGGAAAACCCCUCCCUGGACAUAUUUCAUAAUAUCUAGGCUUUCAAGCCCUCAGGCCCCCACAUCCCUGCCCACUCCCUCUCACAACCACUUCCAGAAGUCAGCUGAAAAACCCAUACCAAUAUCCCAGAACAACUAGUGCCAACAUUUAUUGAGCACUGACAGCAUGUCCGCAUUGUGACAAAACACUUUACAUGGAUUAUUGUAAUCCUCCUGACACGGCUCUAUAACGCUGGAACUACUAUUGCUUUGUCAGUGAGGAACCUGAAGCUUGGAGGCCUCACAAGUAAGGAACCCGGUCUUAAAGCCUGAAUGAACUGUGACAAACAGCAUGAGGACCACUUGGCCCAGGCGGAAAGUAGAAAGCUUCUAGAAGCCAGCAGCCUCCUUCUUUGUCUCUCAGCUUCACAGCUGCCCACAAAGCCCCAAGGAGAAAGCCUUCCAAAAAAGGCAGUGACUUGGAUAGAACAAGCCACGGGACAGCGCGGAGGAGCUGAUCUUUUCCAGGACUGAGCCGCGUGCUGAUGGAGAGAGGCAAUGGGUACCGUGAGACUGGUGAGAACAGCAAGCUGUCGUGCAUAUUCAAGCUGCAUCAGCAAAAGGAGAGGAUGUUUUAGAUGGGGCUUUCCUGACCCCCAUUUUCUAACAUGACAAUGCUUAUUAGAAGAAGGUUUGAAGUGCUAAGCCUCGAUGACAGUCUUUAUGGUUUGUUAUGAAUUUCCUUAGAAAUAUAAACACUUAGGAAACAACUGUCUCCCUCCCUCCUUUUGUGGUCACUGACAUCAGAGGUCAGGAACAUAACAGGCCUGCUGCUCAUCCCUGUGCUCCCUGAGAGCCUCGUGGCCCAGCAGGUUACCACGGCAGUGCCCUCACACACUUGGGCAACAUGCCCUAAGUUAAUAGCCCAGGCUGAGAAGGUAGAAGGAAUAUCUCCAGGUUAUUCAGAGAAAACCGGAAGGAGGGAGGAGGAAUAUUAAAGUUUCAGUUUCCAGUGAAACCGGAUCUUACACAGAAAGGGCAAAAAUAACCAAGACCCAGGGAACAUUCUGAGCACAGAGGUGGGAGGUUCCAGCCCACGUGCUGUGUGAGCUGAAUUCUCUUCCUCUCCUGAGAGAGUGACACAUGCUAUUAGUCCCAUCCUCCAUUAAUCCCAUUUUGGAAGUUGGGAAAGUACAGCAAGAAUAACUGUCAUUAUCUUACCUAACUCACACAGUUGGUCAGGGGAUAAAAUAAGACCAUGAACAUGAAAUGCUUUCAAAAUAUAAAAAUCUCAAUAUAAGUCAAAUACAUUCAAAUCUUUCUCAUAUGAUAUAAAUAAAUAAAUGCAAAUAGAAAGUGACUCUCUCCUUCUAUUACUGUUAUAACUACUACUAUUAUUUUAUACUCUUUCCUUAAAGGACAAGGGACAAUAUGCCCUGGUAUUUCAUUUUCCCCAGAGAGCUACCAAAUGCCUCCAAUCCAAAUAAAUUAACAUUGUUCUUUUGAUUGGCAUCUGGUGAGAACAAGAUUUCACUUGGACAUACAGAGACAGAAGUGUGGAGGGGACAGAAAGGAGAGGAAAAGGAUCAGAAAGAAGAGGAAAAGGAAAGCAUUUUAAUUUGUGGUUCUUAGUAUUCAUAUCCAUUGUUUACAGGGGGUGGAACACUUAAUAUUAUACUUUUUUUACAAUAACAAGUUGGAGCAAAACACUCAAGAUAAACAUUCAUCCUUCAGAUUUAAAAAAGAAAAGAAAAGGCAGCAGAGAGGUAAGAAUAAAAUUAUGUUAGAGACUAAAUAGGAAUUAACUAGUAGUCUGAAGUCAACAUAGAAAUGAAUGGAUAAAGAUGUGGAGUGUGUGUGUGUGUGUGUGUGUGUGUGUGUAAAUGGAAUAUUACUCAGCCAUAAAAAAGAAUGAAACUUUUGCCACUUGUGACAACAUGGACAGACCUAGAGGGUAUUAUACCAAGUGAUAUAAGUCAUAAAAAAAAUACCAUAUGAUUUCACUCAUGUGGAAACUUAAAAAAGGAACAGAAGUAGACUCAUAAAUACAGAGAACAAACUGGUGGUUGCCACGGGGGAGUAAAUGGGGGUACAGGCAAAAUGGGUGAAGGGGAUAAAGUGGUACAAAUCUCCAAUUAUAAAAUAAAUAAGUCACAGAGAUGAAAAAUACAGCAUAGGGAGAAUAGUCUAUAAUUUUGUAUUAACUUUGUAUGGUGACAGAUGGUAACUACACUUACAGUGGGGAGCAUUUCAUAAUGUAUAUAAUUGUUGAAUCACUAUGUUGUAUACCUGAAACCAAUAUAAUAUUGUAUAUCAUCUAUACUUCAAUUUAAAAAAAUAUAUAUAUAUAUAUACAUAUAGUGGCCCAAAAUUUCCCUGCAGACCCAAACACAUUCUUCUUUCAUCCUUGGAUGUCAGGCUGAGUAUGAGAUAGUAUACCUUCUGAGGUAUUAAAGAAUUCCUAGUAUUUCCCUCUACCUUAGGGUUGCCAAAUUCAGCAAAUAUUUAGGACAUACUUAUAUAAAAAUUAAUUGCUAUUGAAUUCAGAUUUAACUGGGUGUCCUGUAUUUUAUCUGGCCAGACCUAGACCUAGAGGGUAUUAUACCAAGUGAUAUAAGUCAUAAAAAAACUCCACCUCUAGCCACCAUGACCCCAAUGAUCAGCCCCUUUGAUUAACAGUAUUUACCAAACAUGCUAUCAUAACAACCCAUUCUGAUGCAAUAGGUCCAGGGUCCAUCCUGAGAACUUUUAUAUUUAAUAAGCACUCCAAAGGAUUCUCACCAGGCAAGUCUGGAAGAUACUAGAGUCCAACAUAUCACCACUGAGGCCAAGACCACAAGUUGAAUUUCUACGUGAGGCUGUCCUCUUUGCUAGAUUCACAGUCCAGAGACAGCACACCACCCGUAUCAGUAUCCAACCCCCCAAGAACACACCCUUUGCUGAUGGAACAAAACUCUGCACUCAUCCAUGUUGGCUAUGUUUUCCUAUUACCAGGCCAAGUGCUUGCUAUACACACCCAGGACUGCUGUCCUCUAGCCUCAAGAGAAAGCUGAGCCCAACCAGUUGUUUUUCCAGGCACUGCCACCCCUGCCUGCAACAGUCAAGGUAGGGGAGGCAGAGGGCUCUCCAGGAUCAAGUAUUCAACAAAUUACAUACAAAAAGUCUCAGAUGGUUCAUUUUUGGUUUUUUAAGUCAACUGCCAAGACACUUUCAGCAGCUAAACUUGACCCGUGCAGGGGUAGCCCUGCACCUUCUCCCCUGCCCAACCCUGGACUGCCCCAGGGGACAAAAGUCACCACAGUUGUGCAUAAUAUUCUACAAUUGCAUCUCUAAAAUAUAGUCAUGGACCUAAGAGCUUAUCUGGUCAGGCCUCAGCAGACCGCAGCUACAUGGCUUGUCUCUACACAGAGGAAGACGUGUGACAGACACUCCAAGAGUGCAUUUUCUCCCCCCACAAACUCCGACUUCUCUGGGCCACAGGUGCCUACAUUUUUCUCUUGCUUUAGGUUGAAAAGGAUGGAGGAGGAGCGGGGGGCAUCCUGGGAGUGGCACCAGGCUUUCCCCCUGGCUUCCGUUCUGCUCCAGCCAGCUUCGGACCUGCCAAUCCAAUGAGGCCCCCUCUCCAUGGCUCUCCCUUCUUCAAAACUCGGUUUCAGAAUUGCAGCUCCCUUAUAAGAGAAGCUUAAUAAUAUUAUGAUAGCAAACUGGGAAGGAGGAUAUGGCAAAUGCGAAGGGAGGAGGCCACAUCACACUUGAGCGGCCAGCUCAGCCCAGAGGGUGGAGAACCUGUGGGGGUGGAGGGGCGAGGCCCACCCCUCUGCCUCCCCACUCCUAGCCCCAGGGAGUGUUUCAUUUGCUAAUGAGGUCAGUGGGGCCCAGAUGUUGG
Manis pentadactyla (Chinese pangolin) is the source of this 5194-nucleotide long non-coding RNA. RefSeq lists it as uncharacterized. The record is from RefSeq and is a predicted model, not a curated record. The transcript has 3 exons. NCBI's taxonomy places the organism in Eukaryota, Metazoa, Chordata, Mammalia, Pholidota, Manidae.